GAGAAAGAGUCCUGCCGAGCAGGAAAGAUGGGCAAAGACAGAGACAGUCAAAAGUCGUCUUUGUCACUGCCCAUCCCUCCUGCUCCUCUGGGCCUCCCUUUCUC
Molecule: microRNA precursor, 104 nt
Filed under: Callithrix jacchus (white-tufted-ear marmoset)
Lineage: Eukaryota; Metazoa; Chordata; Mammalia; Primates; Cebidae
Description: microRNA cja-mir-9913 precursor
Source: miRBase by way of RNAcentral